CCUACGGGUGGCUGCAGUGGGGAAUAUUGGACAAUGGGCGAAAGCCUGAUCCAGCCAUGCCGCGUGUGUGAAGAAGGCCUUCGGGUUGUAAAGCACUUUCAUUGGGGAAGAAAGCCUUGGGGCUAAUACCCUCGAGGAAGGACAUCACCCACAGAAGAAGCACCGGCUAACUCCGUGCCAGCAGCCGCGGUAAUACGGAGGGUGCGAGCGUUAAUCGGAAUUACUGGGCGUAAAGCGCGCGCAGGCGGUCUGAUAAGCCGGUUGUGAAAGCCCCGGGCUCAACCUGGGAACGGCAUCCGGAACUGUCAGGCUAGAGUGCAGGAGAGGAAGGUAGAAUUCCAGGUGUAGCGGUGAAAUGCGUAGAGAUCGGGAGGAAUACCAGUGGCGAAGGCGGCCUUCUGGCCUGACACUGACGCUGAGGUGCGAAAGCGUGGGUAGCAAACAGGAUUAGAUACCCCAGUAGUC
RNAcentral lists this ribosomal RNA (465 nucleotides) under Vreelandella stevensii. RNAcentral's name for it is "partial 16S ribosomal RNA". It matches the Rfam family "Bacterial small subunit ribosomal RNA", at positions 338 to 795 of the family's 1533-position model. The record is from RNAcentral. Lineage: Bacteria; Pseudomonadati; Pseudomonadota; Gammaproteobacteria; Oceanospirillales; Halomonadaceae.